GUUGUUACGAUCUGCUGAGGGUAAGCCGUCCUUCGCCUCGAUUUCCCCAAUGGGUUCUCCGGAUUUCUGGAGACUUGUAGGGGUUGUGGGAUUUUUGAUGUGUCGUCUCCGGACGGGCGGUGCAGGGUAGUCGAGUUAGACUUGGUGGAAUUCCGUCGAUAGGAGUUCCGUCGAGUCUGGUCGGCUGUGUGUUGGACGGUGCAGGGUAGGCUGCUUGGACAUGGUCGGUUCGAGGAUCGAUUCGAGGGCCGGCCUGUCGAUGAUGUGUGAUGUAUGCGGUCUAGGGUAGGCUGGUUUGUCUUGGUCCAAUUUGAUGUCGGCUCCCGUGCAGGCCAGAGUGAGGGGGGUCCAUGGUAGGUACAGGGUAGGCAGCUUAGAUUUGGUCGAUCUGGAGGUCGAUUCUCCGGCUGGCGGAUCUGACACUGUCGAAACGAGGUGCGAGCGGUGUAGGGUAGGCUAGUUUCGUCCUCGCCAGGUUGCGAUUUGGACGAGAUAUGUGGUCUAGGGUAUGCUCUAGGGUAAGUAGAAUUCGUGUUUCGUCGCCGACAGUUUUCUGUGGGUGUGUGGUAGGUACAGGGUAGGCAAAUCUCUCUCCGGCCAGUACUUGUCUGGUGGUCGUGAGUCGAUUUUUUUGUUUUGCCAUACUAUUGAAUUUUGCGGAAAUUCAAAAGUGGCUCGGGAGUCCCGCCUGGCGUGCGUCCGACUCGAACGUCGUCGGUGUACAUAUGAGAGGGAGUAAUCCGGCCCGGCCGGGGCCCAUCGCGAGCUGCCGGGUAGGUAAAAGUAAAAAAGUUGUUAAGAGGCGCGGUGUCGGCGUGCUUGUAUUUGCGGGAGAGAAUUAUCUGGAGGUGCUGGGUAGCCGGGAAGACUUGGACGGAUCUGGCCCGGGAAUGGGUCUGGGCCUGGAUUCUGGUGUGGUGUAGGGUAGGCGUAGAUAGAUGAGUGGUCUAGGGUAGAUACAGGGUAGCCAGACGUCUAGUAUAUAGUAUGGGGGUGUAGGGUAGGUCUGGACACCGUUUUCCACUUCGCCCUUCCCUUUAGUCGAGGGAGGACGAUCUUGGCUGGGACGGAGGUGUAGGGUAGGCUUAAUUAACGAUUACAUGAUCUGUGUCACUCUAGGGUAGGUGAAAAUCCCAUAUAUAUCUGAUCAGAUUUGGCGAAGAGGUGGUUUGGCUGGUGAGAUGGACAAAAGUGCAAUGUAGAAUUAUAUGUGAUUUUGCAAAAGUGGGUGUGAAAUUGGGAAAUCGGUUUUCCCGCACAGAUAAGAGCACGUUUGAGGUGCCAUGAGAUGCACCUCUCCGAGACGACCUCGACGGUACCACCGAUGUGUUGGUCAGGCUCCUGUGCGGCCGUCCAGGGCGGGAUAAGUAGAGAAUGAGGUGGUGUAGGGUAGGUGGCCAGGUCCAGGGUAGGUUCGCCAAAUCCGUCAAUCCGGCUUGAAUGGAAGGACAGGUCUAGGGUAGGCCAGAGUCGGGUCUAGGGUAGGCAACUCUCACCCUCGAAGUGGUCUACCCGGUAGCCAACUUCAAUCGCCUCUCACGGCCGCCACGGAUCUCGUAUGACGACGGGACUACCACCAUCGGAUUCGCCUUGGUCGAAAUAGCUGGUAUAUGCACUUUUGAAAAAAUGCGUGCAAAAUGGUUUUGUGGUUUGGUGGUCGUGAGUCGAUUUUUUUGUUUUCCCAUACAAAUGAAUUUUGCGGAAAAUAAAAAGUGGCCCACGAGGCAGUCCUGGCGUGCGGCCCACUAAAACGGUCUCGGAGGGUAUAUGAGAAGGGAGCAAAUCCGGCCGAGCCUGAAAGGGUGAGGACAAACCGGGCGAGCAACCUCUCAGUAUCAGAUCUUGCAGACUUCCACUGCGUGUCCCUCUGUACAGCUUUGCAGGCUCCGGCCUCGGCAGCGGGGGGUUCAUAGUGGUCGUCGACCUCCACGAAACUGCACGCUCCGGCGUGACAGCGUACUGGGGAUGCCUGUGUAGAUGCAGUCCGGGCUUGCCUGGACCG
This 2002-nucleotide unclassified non-coding RNA is filed under the name Fusarium oxysporum f. sp. mori. Its description in RNAcentral is "contains 28S ribosomal RNA and 28S-18S ribosomal RNA intergenic spacer". Lineage: Eukaryota; Fungi; Ascomycota; Sordariomycetes; Hypocreales; Nectriaceae. The record is from RNAcentral.